AUUGAACGCUGGCGGUAUGCUUAACACAUGCAAGUCGAACGGUAACAGGCCUUCGGGCGCUGACGAGUGGCGGACGGUGAGUAACGCGUAGGAAUCUGCCUCAUAGUGGGGGACAACGUGGGGAAACUCACGCUAAUACCGCAUACGCCCUACGGGGGAAAGCGGGGGAUCUUCGGACCUCGCGCUAUGAGAUGAGCCUGCGUUAGAUUAGCUAGUUGGUAGGGUAAAGGCCUACCAAGGCGACGAUCUAUAGCUGGUCUGAGAGGACGAUCAGCCACACUGGGACUGAGACACGGCCCAGACUCCUACGGGAGGCAGCAGUGGGGAAUAUUGGACAAUGGGCGCAAGCCUGAUCCAGCAAUACCGCGUGUGUGAAGAAGGCCCUAGGGUUGUAAAGCACUUUCAAUUGGGAGGAAAACCUGCCGGUCAAUACCCGGCAGCUUGACAUUACCUUUAGAAGAAGCACCGGCUAACUCCGUGCCAGCAGCCGC
RNAcentral lists this ribosomal RNA (491 nucleotides) under uncultured bacterium. RNAcentral's name for it is "bacterial SSU rRNA". It matches the Rfam family "Bacterial small subunit ribosomal RNA", at positions 30 to 518 of the family's 1533-position model. The record is from RNAcentral.